GCACAGUAAAGAUUUCGGUCUUUAUGGGUGGCGAGUGGCGGACGGGUGAGUAACGCGUAGGAAUCUGUCCUGGAGCGUGGGAUAACCCGAGGAAACUCGGGCUAAUACCGCAUGAUAUCGAGAGAUCAAAAGCAGGGGACCGAAAGGCCYUGCGCUCUGGGGUGAGCCUACGUCGGAUUAGCUAGUUGGUGGGGUAAAAGCCUACCAAGGCGACGAUCCGUAGCUGGUCUGAGAGGAUGACCAGCCACACUGGGACYGAGACACGGCCCAGACUCCUACGGGAGGCAGCAGUGGGGAAUCUUGGACAAUGGGGGCAACCCUGAUCCAGCGAUGCCGCGUGUGUGAAGAAGGCCUUCGGGUUGUAAAGCACUUUAGGUGGGGAAGAAAGGCAGUUGUUGAAUACGCAACUGUUAUGACGGUACCCGCAGAAUAAGCACCGGCUAACUCUGUGCCAGCAGCCGCGGUAAUACAGAGGGUG
Molecule: ribosomal RNA, 478 nt
Filed under: uncultured bacterium
Lineage: Bacteria
Description: bacterial SSU rRNA
Rfam family: Bacterial small subunit ribosomal RNA
Source: RNAcentral